This 253-nucleotide ribosomal RNA is filed under the name uncultured bacterium. Its description in RNAcentral is "partial 16S ribosomal RNA". It matches the Rfam family "Bacterial small subunit ribosomal RNA", at positions 524 to 776 of the family's 1533-position model. The record is from RNAcentral.
UACAGGGGGGGCAAGCGUUGUUCGGAAUUACUGGGCGUAAAGGGUUCGUAGGUGGCCACUUAAGUCAGACGUGAAAUCCCUCAGCUUAACUGGGGAACUGCGUCUGAUACUGAGUGGCUUGAGUGCAGGAGAGGAAUGCGGAAUUCCAGGUGUAGCGGUGAAAUGCGUAGAGAUCGGGAGGAAGGCCGGUGGCGAAGGCGGCGCUCUGGAACAUUUCUGACGCUGAGGCUCGAAAGCGUGGGGAGCAAACAGG